Molecule: ribosomal RNA, 1555 nt
Filed under: Escherichia coli
Lineage: Bacteria; Pseudomonadati; Pseudomonadota; Gammaproteobacteria; Enterobacterales; Enterobacteriaceae
Description: bacterial SSU rRNA
Rfam family: Bacterial small subunit ribosomal RNA
Source: RNAcentral
UUAAAUUGAAGAGUUUGAUCAUGGCUCAGAUUGAACGCUGGCGGCAGGCCUAACACAUGCAAGUCGAACGGUAACAGGAAUCAGCUUGCUGCUUUGCUGACGAGUGGCGGACGGGUGAGUAAUGUCUGGGAAACUGCCUGAUGGAGGGGGAUAACUACUGGAAACGGUAGCUAAUACCGCAUAACGUCGCAAGACCAAAGAGGGGGACCUUCGGGCCUCUUGCCAUCGGAUGUGCCCAGAUGGGAUUAGCUAGUAGGUGGGGUAACGGCUCACCUAGGCGACGAUCCCUAGCUGGUCUGAGAGGAUGACCAGCCACACUGGAACUGAGACACGGUCCAGACUCCUACGGGAGGCAGCAGUGGGGAAUAUUGCACAAUGGGCGCAAGCCUGAUGCAGCCAUGCCGCGUGUAUGAAGAAGGCCUUCGGGUUGUAAAGUACUUUCAGCGGGGAGGAAGGGAGUAAAGUUAAUACCUUUGCUCAUUGACGUUACCCGCAGAAGAAGCACCGGCUAACUCCGUGCCAGCAGCCGCGGUAAUACGGAGGGGUGCAAGCGUUAAUCGGAAUUACUGGGCGUAAAGCGCACGCAGGCGGUUUGUUAAGUCAGAUGUGAAAUCCCCGGGCUCAACCUGGGAACUGCAUCUGAUACUGGCAAGCUUGAGUCUCGUAGAGGGGGGUAGAAUUCCAGGUGUAGCGGUGAAAUGCGUAGAGAUCUGGAGGAAUACCGGUGGCGAAGGCGGCCCCCUGGACGAAGACUGACGCUCAGGUGCGAAAGCGUGGGGAGCAAACAGGAUUAGAUACCCUGGUAGUCCACGCCGUAAACGAUGUCGACUUGGAGGUUGUGCCCUUGAGGCGUGGCUUCCGGAGCUAACGCGUUAAGUCGACCGCCUGGGGAGUACGGCCGCAAGGUUAAAACUCAAAUGAAUUGACGGGGGCCCGCACAAGCGGUGGAGCAUGUGGUUUAAUUCGAUGCAACGCGAAGAACCUUACCUGGUCUUGACAUCCACGGAAGUUUUCAGAGAUGAGAAUGUGCCUUCGGGAACCGUGAGACAGGUGCUGCAUGGCUGUCGUCAGCUCGUGUUGUGAAAUGUUGGGUUAAGUCCCGCAACGAGCGCAACCCUUAUCCUUUGUUGCCAGCGGUCCGGCCGGGAACUCAAAGGAGACUGCCAGUGAUAAACUGGAGGAAGGUGGGGAUGACGUCAAGUCAUCAUGGCCCUUACGACCAGGGCUACACACGUGCUACAAUGGCGCAUACAAAGAGAAGCGACCUCGCGAGAGCAAGCGGACCUCAUAAAGUGCGUCGUAGUCCGGAUUGGAGUCUGCAACUCGACUCCAUGAAGUCGGAAUCGCUAGUAAUCGUGGAUCAGAAUGCCACGGUGAAUACGUUCCCGGGCCUUGUACACACCGCCCGUCACACCAUGGGAGUGGGUUGCAAAAGAAGUAGGUAGCUUAACCUUCGGGAGGGCGCUUACCACUUUGUGAUUCAUGACUGGGGUGAAGUCGUAACAAGGUAACCGUAGGGGAACCUGCGGUUGGAUCACCUCCUUACCUUAAAGAA